AAUAAAGGGCCUGAUAAAAGGGUUAUUUUGAUAGGGUAAAUAAUGUAAUUUUUUUUUACCUUUAUUAA
RNAcentral lists this transfer RNA (68 nucleotides) under Melanargia asiatica. RNAcentral's name for it is "tRNA-Ile". The record is from RNAcentral. Lineage: Eukaryota; Metazoa; Arthropoda; Insecta; Lepidoptera; Nymphalidae.